CACGUAGGGUGCGAGCGUUGUCCGGAAUUAUUGGGCGUAAAGAGCUCGUAGGCGGUGUGUCGCGUCGGCCGUGAAAACCUGCAGCUUAACUGUGGGCUUGCGGUGGAUACGGGCAGACUUGAGUUCGGUAGGGGAGACUGGAAUUCCUGGUGUAGCGGUGAAAUGCGCAGAUAUCAGGAGGAACACCGGUGGCGAAGGCGGGUCUCUGGGCCGAUACUGACGCUGAGGAGCGAAAGCGUGGGGAGCGAACAGG
This 253-nucleotide ribosomal RNA is filed under the name uncultured bacterium. RNAcentral describes it as "partial 16S ribosomal RNA". It matches the Rfam family "Bacterial small subunit ribosomal RNA", at positions 524 to 776 of the family's 1533-position model. The record is from RNAcentral.